This 92-nucleotide microRNA precursor is filed under the name Paramuricea clavata. Lineage: Eukaryota; Metazoa; Cnidaria; Anthozoa; Malacalcyonacea; Plexauridae. The record is from RNAcentral.
CUUCCAGAGUUUGCAAAUUUUGUAUACUUUUGCAUUGCAAUUUUCGCAUGCAAUACAAAAGUAUACAAAAUUUGCAAACUUUGUAAGGCUAU